Molecule: ribosomal RNA, 460 nt
Filed under: uncultured bacterium
Lineage: Bacteria
Description: partial 16S ribosomal RNA
Rfam family: Bacterial small subunit ribosomal RNA
Source: RNAcentral
CCUACGGGGUGCAGCAGUGAGGAAUAUUGGUCAAUGGACGAGAGUCUGAACCAGCCAAGUAGCGUGAAGGAUGACUGCCCUAUGGGUUGUAAACUUCUUUUAUAAAGGAAUAAAACGAGGCACGUGUGCCUUUUUGCAUGUACUUUAUGAAUAAGGAUCGGCUAACUCCGUGCCAGCAGCCGCGGUAAUACGGAGGAUCCGAGCGUUAUCCGGAUUUAUUGGGUUUAAAGGGAGCGUAGAUGGGUUGUUAAGUCAGUUGUGAAAGUUUGCGGCUCAACCGUAAAAUUGCAAUUGAUACUGGCAGUCUUGAGUACAGUUGAGGUAGGCGGAAUUCGUGGUGUAGCGGUGAAAUGCUUAGAUAUCACGAAGAACCCCGAUUGCGAAGGCAGCUCACUAAACUGUGACUGACAUUGAUGCUCGAAAGUGUGGGUAUCAAACAGGAUUAGAUACCCCUGUAGUC